GACGAAGGUGGCGACCGUUGUUCGGAAUCACUGGGCAUAAAGAGCACGUAGGCGGGUGCGUAAGUCGGGUGUGAAAUCCCUCGGCCUAACCGAGGAAUUGCGCCCGAUACUGCGUGUCUUGAGGGCAGGAGGGGAGCGUGGAAUUCCUGGUGGAGCGGUGAAAUGCGUUGAUAUCAGGAGGAACACCGGCGGCGAAGGCGACGCUCUGGCCUGCUUCUGACGCUGAGGUGCGAAAGCCAGGGGAGCAAACGGG
RNAcentral lists this ribosomal RNA (253 nucleotides) under uncultured bacterium. RNAcentral describes it as "partial 16S ribosomal RNA". It matches the Rfam family "Bacterial small subunit ribosomal RNA", at positions 524 to 776 of the family's 1533-position model. The record is from RNAcentral.